UACGGGGGGUGCAAACGUUGCUCGGAAUUAUUGGGCGUAAAGCGCACGUAGGCGGUCUCGUAAGUCGGGUGUGAAAGCCCCAGGCUUAACCUGGGAAGUGCACUCGAAACUGCGAGGCUUGAGUAUGGAAGAGGGCCGCGGAAUUCCCGGUGUAGAGGUGAAAUUCGUAGAUAUCGGGAGGAACACUAGUGGCGAAGGCGAGACUCUGGACAGUUCCUGACGCUGAGGCACGAAGGCCAGGGGAGCAAACGGG
Molecule: ribosomal RNA, 253 nt
Filed under: uncultured bacterium
Lineage: Bacteria
Description: partial 16S ribosomal RNA
Rfam family: Bacterial small subunit ribosomal RNA
Source: RNAcentral